RNAcentral lists this ribosomal RNA (2787 nucleotides) under Escherichia coli. Its description in RNAcentral is "bacterial LSU rRNA". It matches the Rfam family "Bacterial large subunit ribosomal RNA". Lineage: Bacteria; Pseudomonadati; Pseudomonadota; Gammaproteobacteria; Enterobacterales; Enterobacteriaceae. RNAcentral also lists the same sequence under 1 other name. The record is from RNAcentral.
AGCGUACACGGUGGAUGCCCUGGCAGUCAGAGGCGAUGAAGGACGUGCUAAUCUGCGAUAAGCGUCGGUAAGGUGAUAUGAACCGUUAUAACCGGCGAUUUCCGAAUGGGGAAACCCAGUGUGUUUCGACACACUAUCAUUAACUGAAUCCAUAGGUUAAUGAGGCGAACCGGGGGAACUGAAACAUCUAAGUACCCCGAGGAAAAGAAAUCAACCGAGAUUCCCCCAGUAGCGGCGAGCGAACGGGGAGCAGCCCAGAGCCUGAAUCAGUGUGUGUGUUAGUGGAAGCGUCUGGAAAGGCGCGCGAUACAGGGUGACAGCCCCGUACACAAAAAUGCACAUGCUGUGAGCUCGAUGAGUAGGGCGGGACACGUGGUAUCCUGUCUGAAUAUGGGGGGACCAUCCUCCAAGGCUAAAUACUCCUGACUGACCGAUAGUGAACCAGUACCGUGAGGGAAAGGCGAAAAGAACCCCGGCGAGGGGAGUGAAAAAGAACCUGAAACCGUGUACGUACAAGCAGUGGGAGCACGCUUAGGCGUGUGACUGCGUACCUUUUGUAUAAUGGGUCAGCGACUUAUAUUCUGUAGCAAGGUUAACCGAAUAGGGGAGCCGAAGGGAAACCGAGUCUUAACUGGGCGUUAAGUUGCAGGGUAUAGACCCGAAACCCGGUGAUCUAGCCAUGGGCAGGUUGAAGGUUGGGUAACACUAACUGGAGGACCGAACCGACUAAUGUUGAAAAAUUAGCGGAUGACUUGUGGCUGGGGGUGAAAGGCCAAUCAAACCGGGAGAUAGCUGGUUCUCCCCGAAAGCUAUUUAGGUAGCGCCUCGUGAAUUCAUCUCCGGGGGUAGAGCACUGUUUCGGCAAGGGGGUCAUCCCGACUUACCAACCCGAUGCAAACUGCGAAUACCGGAGAAUGUUAUCACGGGAGACACACGGCGGGUGCUAACGUCCGUCGUGAAGAGGGAAACAACCCAGACCGCCAGCUAAGGUCCCAAAGUCAUGGUUAAGUGGGAAACGAUGUGGGAAGGCCCAGACAGCCAGGAUGUUGGCUUAGAAGCAGCCAUCAUUUAAAGAAAGCGUAAUAGCUCACUGGUCGAGUCGGCCUGCGCGGAAGAUGUAACGGGGCUAAACCAUGCACCGAAGCUGCGGCAGCGACGCUGAUGCGUUGUUGGGUAGGGGAGCGUUCUGUAAGCCUGCGAAGGUGUGCUGUGAGGCAUGCUGGAGGUAUCAGAAGUGCGAAUGCUGACAUAAGUAACGAUAAAGCGGGUGAAAAGCCCGCUCGCCGGAAGACCAAGGGUUCCUGUCCAACGUUAAUCGGGGCAGGGUGAGUCGACCCCUAAGGCGAGGCCGAAAGGCGUAGUCGAUGGGAAACAGGUUAAUAUUCCUGUACUUGGUGUUACUGCGAAGGGGGGACGGAGAAGGCUAUGUUGGCCGGGCGACGGUUGUCCCGGUUUAAGCGUGUAGGCUGGUUUUCCAGGCAAAUCCGGAAAAUCAAGGCUGAGGCGUGAUGACGAGGCACUACGGUGCUGAAGCAACAAAUGCCCUGCUUCCAGGAAAAGCCUCUAAGCAUCAGGUAACAUCAAAUCGUACCCCAAACCGACACAGGUGGUCAGGUAGAGAAUACCAAGGCGCUUGAGAGAACUCGGGUGAAGGAACUAGGCAAAAUGGUGCCGUAACUUCGGGAGAAGGCACGCUGAUAUGUAGGUGAAGUCCCUUGCGGAUGGAGCUGAAAUCAGUCGAAGAUACCAGCUGGCUGCAACUGUUUAUUAAAAACACAGCACUGUGCAAACACGAAAGUGGACGUAUACGGUGUGACGCCUGCCCGGUGCCGGAAGGUUAAUUGAUGGGGUUAGCGCAAGCGAAGCUCUUGAUCGAAGCCCCGGUAAACGGCGGCCGUAACUAUAACGGUCCUAAGGUAGCGAAAUUCCUUGUCGGGUAAGUUCCGACCUGCACGAAUGGCGUAAUGAUGGCCAGGCUGUCUCCACCCGAGACUCAGUGAAAUUGAACUCGCUGUGAAGAUGCAGUGUACCCGCGGCAAGACGGAAAGACCCCGUGAACCUUUACUAUAGCUUGACACUGAACAUUGAGCCUUGAUGUGUAGGAUAGGUGGGAGGCUUUGAAGUGUGGACGCCAGUCUGCAUGGAGCCGACCUUGAAAUACCACCCUUUAAUGUUUGAUGUUCUAACGUUGACCCGUAAUCCGGGUUGCGGACAGUGUCUGGUGGGUAGUUUGACUGGGGCGGUCUCCUCCUAAAGAGUAACGGAGGAGCACGAAGGUUGGCUAAUCCUGGUCGGACAUCAGGAGGUUAGUGCAAUGGCAUAAGCCAGCUUGACUGCGAGCGUGACGGCGCGAGCAGGUGCGAAAGCAGGUCAUAGUGAUCCGGUGGUUCUGAAUGGAAGGGCCAUCGCUCAACGGAUAAAAGGUACUCCGGGGAUAACAGGCUGAUACCGCCCAAGAGUUCAUAUCGACGGCGGUGUUUGGCACCUCGAUGUCGGCUCAUCACAUCCUGGGGCUGAAGUAGGUCCCAAGGGUAUGGCUGUUCGCCAUUUAAAGUGGUACGCGAGCUGGGUUUAGAACGUCGUGAGACAGUUCGGUCCCUAUCUGCCGUGGGCGCUGGAGAACUGAGGGGGGCUGCUCCUAGUACGAGAGGACCGGAGUGGACGCAUCACUGGUGUUCGGGUUGUCAUGCCAAUGGCACUGCCCGGUAGCUAAAUGCGGAAGAGAUAAGUGCUGAAAGCAUCUAAGCACGAAACUUGCCCCGAGAUGAGUUCUCCCUGACUCCUUGA